CCUUCUUAUAUCUUAUAAUAAUACACCAAAAUAAAGUAAUACAAAAACAACUAUACUCCUUUAUAAUAUAAAGUACCUUAUGGGAAAUUUAAACUGAUAUCAGUAGUGAGUAGUUCACGUACCUUGUGCAUAAUGGUUUUACAAGAUGAAAGCUAAAGCCUAUGCCCGAAUCCAACGAGAGAUGUAUAUAUAGUGUUAAGAACCAAUCAAUGGGUGUUUCAUCAUCUUUGCUACAUAUGUAUACAGAGGCUACAUACCAACCGCGCUUGGAUAUUUCUGGUUUUAGAUAAACUUUAUUUAUUAAGGCGCACAAUUAAUAUGUGACGUAAUAAAGUAGAGGAUAAGCCCCACUUUAUCAAACUAUAAUUCAUAGAAAAUCAAAAUAAAAUAUUAGGCCUAAUACCAGCCAAUAAAAUCACUUUAUAUCUUAUAACAAAGAAAAUAAUUAUAUAAUAAUAUAUGUUAGGAUAAAUCUAAUAAAAGGAAAAUCAUCAACCUAAAUAUAAAAUGUAAAAAUAAGUAUUUCUUCACCAUGUAGCUAAGCCAAGAUAAUAUACAAAAUAAAAUAUCCAAUACUAAAUAAGAAACUAGGCAAGAUCAAUUU
RNAcentral lists this ribosomal RNA (604 nucleotides) under Atatina sp. MPL-2014. RNAcentral's name for it is "partial 16S ribosomal RNA". Lineage: Eukaryota; Metazoa; Annelida; Clitellata; Crassiclitellata; Glossoscolecidae. The record is from RNAcentral.